UUUGAUCUUCGGGAUAGGGUGAAAUUCCCGACUGGCAGUAAAAGCCUGCGAGCCUUAAAAAGCAGAGUUUAUUUCAAGCGUUACUUUUUAAGGCAGAGCUGGUGGAAUUCCGGCGCCAAUAGUUAGAGUCUAGAGGGGAGAAGAUUGUA
RNAcentral lists this non-coding RNA (149 nucleotides) under Candidatus Omnitrophota bacterium. Its description in RNAcentral is "Omnitrophica WOR FMN sequence". It matches the Rfam family "FMN riboswitch aptamer (RFN element)". From Rfam's summary of the family: The RFN element is a highly conserved domain that is found frequently in the 5'-untranslated regions of prokaryotic mRNAs that encode for flavin mononucleotide (FMN) biosynthesis and transport proteins. This element is a metabolite-dependent riboswitch that directly binds FMN in the absence of proteins. In Bacillus subtilis, the riboswitch most likely controls gene expression by causing premature transcription termination within the 5' untranslated region of the ribDEAHT operon and precluding access to the ribosome-binding site of ypaA mRNA. The record is from RNAcentral. Lineage: Bacteria; Pseudomonadati; Candidatus Omnitrophota.